RNAcentral lists this ribosomal RNA (301 nucleotides) under uncultured bacterium. RNAcentral describes it as "partial 16S ribosomal RNA". It matches the Rfam family "Bacterial small subunit ribosomal RNA", at positions 509 to 807 of the family's 1533-position model. The record is from RNAcentral.
CAGCCGCCACGGUAAUACGAAGGGGGCUAGCGUUGUUCGGAAUUACUGGGCGUAAAGGGCGCGUAGGCGGCCAUUCAAGUUAGAUGUGAAAGCCCUGGGCUCAACCUAGGAAUUGCAUUUGAUACUGUUUGGCUUGAGUUCGGGAGAGGUGAGUGGAAUUCCCAGUGUAGAGGUGAAAUUCGUAGAUAUUGGGAAGAACACCGGUGGCGAAGGCGGCGACCAGGUCCUUGACUGACGCUGAGGCGCGAAAGCGUGGGGAGCAAACAGGAUUAGAUACCCCCGUAGUCCCUGUCUCUUAUAC